This 469-nucleotide ribosomal RNA is filed under the name Peptostreptococcus stomatis. RNAcentral describes it as "bacterial SSU rRNA". It matches the Rfam family "Bacterial small subunit ribosomal RNA", at positions 28 to 482 of the family's 1533-position model. The record is from RNAcentral. Lineage: Bacteria; Bacillati; Bacillota; Clostridia; Peptostreptococcales; Peptostreptococcaceae.
GAUGAACGCUGGCGGCGUGCCUAACACAUGCAAGUCGAGCGAGGGUUUGCUCAGUAUUGAGUAUUCUAAGACUAGAAUGUUCAAUUCUGAGCAAAACCAAGCGGCGGACGGGUGAGUAACGCGUGGGUAACCUGCCCUAUACACAUGGAUAACAUACUGAAAAGUUUACUAAUACAUGAUAAUAUAUAUCUGCGGCAUCGCAGAUAUAUCAAAGUGUUAGCGGUAUAGGAUGGACCCGCGUCUGAUUAGCUAGUUGGUGAGAUAACUGCCCACCAAGGCGACGAUCAGUAGCCGACCUGAGAGGGUGAUCGGCCACAUUGGAACUGAGACACGGUCCAAACUCCUACGGGAGGCAGCAGUGGGGAAUAUUGCACAAUGGGCGAAAGCCUGAUGCAGCAACGCCGCGUGAACGAUGAAGGUCUUCGGAUCGUAAAGUUCUGUUGCAGGGGAAGAUAAUGACGGUACCCUG